This 450-nucleotide ribosomal RNA is filed under the name uncultured bacterium. RNAcentral describes it as "partial 16S ribosomal RNA". It matches the Rfam family "Bacterial small subunit ribosomal RNA", at positions 354 to 796 of the family's 1533-position model. The record is from RNAcentral.
GUGGGGAAUUUUGGACAAUGGGCGCAAGCCUGAUCCAGCAAUGCCGCGUGCAGGAAGAAGGCCUUCGGGUUGUAAACUGCUUUUGUACGGAACGAAACGGUCCGGGUUAAUACCCUGGGCUAAUGACGGUACCGUAAGAAUAAGCACCGGCUAACUACGUGCCAGCAGCCGCGGUAAUACGUAGGGUGCAAGCGUUAAUCGGAAUUACUGGGCGUAAAGCGUGCGCAGGCGGUUUUGUAAGACAGGCGUGAAAUCCCCGGGCUCAACCUGGGAAUUGCGCUUGUGACUGCAAGGCUGGAGUGCGGAAGAGGGGGAUGGAAUUCCGCGUGUAGCAGUGAAAUGCGUAGAUAUGCGGAGGAACACCGAUGGCGAAGGCAAUCCCCUGGGCCUGCACUGACGCUCAUGCACGAAAGCGUGGGGAGCAAACAGGAUUAGAAACCCGGGUAGUCC